Molecule: ribosomal RNA, 329 nt
Filed under: uncultured eukaryote
Lineage: Eukaryota
Description: partial 18S ribosomal RNA
Rfam family: Eukaryotic small subunit ribosomal RNA
Source: RNAcentral
CCCUUAGAUGUCCUGGGCCGCACGCGCGCUACACUGAGUGUCUGAGAUACGAGUCUGCCUGGUCCGGCAAGGUCUAGGUAAUCGCUAAAAGACACAUCAUGCUUGGGAUAGAUUAUUGCAAAUAUUAAUCUUGAACGAGGAAUUCCUAGUAAGCGCAAGUCUACAGCUUGCGUUGAUUACGUCCCUGCCCUUUGUACACACCGCCCGUCGCUACUACUGAUUGGAUGUUUAAGCGAGGUUCUCGAACUGCUAGCGACUUAGCUUCGGUGAGGUCGCAGUGUGGGAAGUGAACCUAGCUUUGGUGUCUAGAGGAAGUAAAAGUCGUAACA